AAAUUUACAACAAAUACAAACCAUUUUCAUCUCUUCGAGACUUUAGAGUCGUAGUCGACUCUUCGUUCUUCGUGUUUCAUAGAAUCAUGAUUCAAGUAUUUAAUAUACUCGCUUUUCAAGAAUCAAACUCGAUAUUUAAUCCACCAUUGCCCAUUUCUCCUUCAACCCUAGAUAUCGGCACAAUAGUAUCAAGAUUCCUAACAAAAUAUUAGGUCUUCAAGAAUAAUUUUAGGCUUUCCAUGGAUGAUCUUCCUUUUCGAUUACAAAAUCCAAACCUCAGUUGGGACCUGAUUGGCUGUCUUAGGGGACAUUAGGGCUAUAUUCAAGCUUGAUUGUCGAAGCCUGGAAUCGGAAGAAACUUGAAUGUGACACUGAAGAUCAACAACCGGGCAGCCAAAAAGAAGAUAUGCUUAUGCGGUUUGGAGUCAUUUUAAAUGGAAAAAGAUUGAUGGGGUUGAUAAGGCUAUAUACAACUAUUGUAGGAAGAUAUUAACAGAAAAAAUCAAGAAUGGAACGACACACUUAAGUUACCAUUACAAGAAUUGUGCAUCCAAGUGCUCUAGAUUUUGAUAUUUUGUUUAUAACGAUGUUUUAAAUAAGAACUUAAAGAGUUUUUGAUGAUUUUAUGAUGUUGAAAAUAUCCGUAUGUUUUGUACUUUAUCAUCUAUUAUACUAAAGUAUGAAAAUUAGAAUGUUUUAGUUGUCAUGAUUGUUGUUUUUGUUUUGUAGAUUUAAAAAAAAAAUUGUUGUACUUUAUCAUUUGUCAUAGUGAAAGUAUGGAAAUUUGAAUGUUUUAGUUGUCA
Lactuca sativa (garden lettuce) is the source of this 803-nucleotide long non-coding RNA. RefSeq lists it as uncharacterized. NCBI's taxonomy places the organism in Eukaryota, Viridiplantae, Streptophyta, Magnoliopsida, Asterales, Asteraceae. The record is from RefSeq and is a predicted model, not a curated record.